Molecule: long non-coding RNA, 286 nt
Organism: Andrographis paniculata
Lineage: Eukaryota; Viridiplantae; Streptophyta; Magnoliopsida; Lamiales; Acanthaceae
Exons: 3
Source: RefSeq, a predicted model, not a curated record
AAGCAAUAAGAGGUACGGAUUGAGGAUCGAUUAGGGUUUGGAAGUGACUGAUUUGGGAAUUGGUAGGAUCGGAUCGGAUCUUAUUAAAGGCGUGUGGGAAUUGAAUCACGGGAUGUUUUUAGGUUAAAUGCACGCACUUCAUUGCUCCGGGAAUGAUGAAAUAAUCGUCGAUCCUCCCUCUAUGAGAUAGUAUCGUAGUGAUUUUUUUCUCAAUUUGGGAGACACUUAGGCUAAAAUGUAAAGCCCAAUAUUAAUCAAAUAGGCCCACCUGAGCCUCUGUACCAUG